Molecule: long non-coding RNA, 295 nt
Filed under: Mus musculus (house mouse)
Lineage: Eukaryota; Metazoa; Chordata; Mammalia; Rodentia; Muridae
Description: long non-coding RNA chr4:126831463-126831758
Source: RNAcentral
GCCGGGCGUGGUGGCGCACGCCUUUAAUCCCAGCACUCGGGAGGCAGAGGCAGGUGGAUCUCUGAGUUCGAGGCCAGCCUGGUCUACAAAGUGAGUUCCAGGACAGCCAGGGCUAUAUGGAGAAACCCUGUCUCGAAAAACCAAAAAAAAUUAAAAAAAAAAAUAAAUAAAUAAAUAAAUAAAAAUAAAAAAAAAUAAAAGUAUUUCUUUUUUGGGGGGGGGUUUUGAGACAGGGUUUCUCUGUAGAGCCCUGGCUGUCCUGGAACUCACUUUGUAGACCAGGCUGGCCUCGAAC